RNAcentral lists this ribosomal RNA (252 nucleotides) under uncultured bacterium. RNAcentral describes it as "partial 16S ribosomal RNA". It matches the Rfam family "Bacterial small subunit ribosomal RNA", at positions 524 to 776 of the family's 1533-position model. The record is from RNAcentral.
UACGUAGGGUGCGAGCGUUGUCCGGAAUUACUGGGCGUAAGAGCUCGUAGGUGGUUUGUCGCGUUGUUCGUGAAAUCUCACGGCUUAACUGUGAGCGUGCGGGCGAUACGGGCAGACUUGAGUACUGCAGGGGAGACUGGAAUUCCUGGUGUAGCGGUGGAAUGCGCAGAUAUCAGGAGGAACACCGAUGGCGAAGGCAGAUCUCUGGGCCGUAACUGACGCUGAGGAGCGAAAGCGUGGGGAGCGAACAGG